CCCGCACAAGCGGUGGAGCAUGUGGUUAAUUCGACGCAACGCGAGAACCUUACCAGGGCUUGACAUCCCCUGACCGCGUAUGAAAGUACGUUUUCACCCUCGGGUGACAGGGAGACAGGUGGUGCAUGGUUGUCGUCAGCUCGUGUCGUGAGAUGUUGGGUUAAGUCCCGCAACGAGCGCAACCCCUACGUUAGUUGCUAACGCGUGAAGGCGAGCACUCUAGACGAACUGCCGUUGACAAAACGGAGGAAGGUGGGGAUGACGUCAAAUCAUCAUGCCCCUUAUGUUCUGGGCUACACACGUGCUACAAUGGCCGGUACAGACGGACGCAAAGCCGCGAGGUGGAGCAAAUCCUAAAAAGCCGGUCUCAGUUCGGAUUGCAGGCUGCAAUUCGCCUGCAUGAAGUCGGAAUCGCUAGUAAUCGCAGGUCAGCAUACUGCGGUGAAUACGUUCCCGGGCCUU
Molecule: ribosomal RNA, 462 nt
Filed under: uncultured Pelotomaculum sp.
Lineage: Bacteria; Bacillati; Bacillota; Clostridia; Eubacteriales; Desulfotomaculaceae
Description: bacterial SSU rRNA
Rfam family: Bacterial small subunit ribosomal RNA
Source: RNAcentral